AUUGAACGCUGGCGGCAUGCUUUACACAUGCAUGUCGAACGGCAGCGCGGGCUUCGGUUUGGCGGAGAGUGGCGAACGGGUGAGUAAUGCAUCGGAACGUGCCCAGUAGCGGGGGAUAGGCCGGCGAAAGCCGGAUUAAUACCGCAUACGACCUGAGGGCGAAAGCGGGGGACCGAAAGGCCUCGCGCUAUUGGAGCGGCCGAUGUCGGAUUAGCUAGUUGGUGGGGUAAAGGCUUACCAAGGCGACGAUCCGUAGCUGGUCUGAGAGGACGACCAGCCACACUGGAACUGAGACACGGCCCAGACUCCUACGGGAGGCAGCAGUGGGGAAUUUUGGACAAUGGGGGCAACCCUGAUCCAGCCAUGCCGCGUGCGUGAAGAAGGCCUUCGGGUUGUAAACCGCUUUUGUUCGGGAAGAAAUCCUCUGGGCUAAUACCCCGGGGGGAUGACGGUACCGGAAGAAUAAGCACCGGCUAACUACGUG
This 484-nucleotide ribosomal RNA is filed under the name uncultured bacterium. Its description in RNAcentral is "partial 16S ribosomal RNA". It matches the Rfam family "Bacterial small subunit ribosomal RNA", at positions 29 to 507 of the family's 1533-position model. The record is from RNAcentral.